This 403-nucleotide ribosomal RNA is filed under the name uncultured Rhodoplanes sp. RNAcentral describes it as "bacterial SSU rRNA". It matches the Rfam family "Bacterial small subunit ribosomal RNA", at positions 355 to 774 of the family's 1533-position model. Lineage: Bacteria; Pseudomonadati; Pseudomonadota; Alphaproteobacteria; Hyphomicrobiales; Nitrobacteraceae. The record is from RNAcentral.
UGGGGAAUAUUGGACAAUGGGCGCAAGCCUGAUCCAGCCAUGCCGCGUGGAUGAUGAAGGCCCUAGGGUUGUAAAGUCCUUUCGGCGGGGAAGAUAAUGACGGUACCCGCAGAAGAAGCCCCGGCUAACUUCGUGCCAGCAGCCGCGGUAAUACGAAGGGGGCUAGCGUUGCUCGGAAUCACUGGGCGUAAAGCGCACGUAGGCGGACUCUUAAGUCGGUGGUGAAAUCCUGGAGCUCAACUCCAGAACUGCCUCCGAUACUGCGAGUCUUCGAGUCCGGGAGAGGUGAGUGGAACUGCGAGUGUAGAGGUGAAAUUCGUAGAUAUUCGCAAGAACACCAGUGGCGAAGGCGGCUCACUGGCCCGGUACUGACGCUGAGGUGCGAAAGCGUGGGGAGCAAACA